Molecule: ribosomal RNA, 253 nt
Filed under: uncultured bacterium
Lineage: Bacteria
Description: partial 16S ribosomal RNA
Rfam family: Bacterial small subunit ribosomal RNA
Source: RNAcentral
UACGUAGGUGGCAAGCGUUGUCCGGAUUUACUGGGCGUAAAGAGCGCGCAGGCGGUCGUUCAAGUCGCGUGUGAAAGCCCCCGGCUCAACUGGGGAGGGUCACGCGAUACUGAUCGACUCGAAGGCAGGAGAGGGAAGUGGAAUUCCCGGUGUAGUGGUGAAAUGCGUAGAUAUUGGGAGGAACACCAGUGGCGAAGACGGCUCACUGGACCGGUACUGACGCUGAUGCGCGAAAGCGUGGGGAGCAAACAGG